CCAGCAUUAUAUUCCGUGCAUGGUUUCUUUUCUUGCCAUGCAUCGACAAUCUUGAUUUUCCUCGAUACUUUCUUCACAUACAAAACGCAAACUUUGACUUCCAAUGGGCAAGUUAUGGCGGAAACAAUGCUUUAGUACCGCAAAUAUCAGGGUUCUCUUAAUUUUUUUUGCACUUUAACUGGAAAAAGUUCGAUUUGAAAUUUCUCGGGGUUUCUAAAUCAAGAAAUCAACAUUAACCUAUACAAUCAAAAUCAAUCAGUUUCUCAAAAUAAAUUAAAAAAUAGAGGGACCAAAAAAAAUCUAACGAUCCAGACACGAUGUCGAAUGAUUCAAACAAUGGAGGGAAAUGUGUAUUAGAUACUGAUUUAGAGUAUGAAGAGAAUUCCCAUGGCAACAGCGAUUUUUUGUUCUUUUGGGUUUAGUCAUCUGGUUCUUCAUUAGAUUGACAUUUUGCAUCGCUUUCGAGAUCGAUUUCUUCCAACAAACUUUAG
This 491-nucleotide long non-coding RNA is filed under the name Olea europaea subsp. europaea. The record is from RNAcentral. Lineage: Eukaryota; Viridiplantae; Streptophyta; Magnoliopsida; Lamiales; Oleaceae.